UUAAGCGACUAAGCGUACACGGUGGAUGCCCUGGCAGUCAGAGGCGAUGAAGGACGUGCUAAUCUGCGAUAAGCGUCGGUAAGGUGAUAUGAACCGUUAUAACCGGCGAUUUCCGAAUGGGGAAACCCAGUGUGAUUCGUCACACUAUCAUUAACUGAAUCCAUAGGUUAAUGAGGCGAACCGGGGAACUGAAACAUCUAAGUACCCCGAGGAAAGAAAUCAACCGAGAUUCCCCCAGUAGCGGCGAGCGAACGGGAGGAGCCCAGAGCCUGAAUCAGUGUGUGUGUUAGUGGAAGCGUCUGGAAAGGCGCGCGAUACAGGGUGACAGCCCCGUACACAAAAAUGCACAUGCUGUGAGCUCGAUGAGUAGGGCGGGACACGUGGUAUCCUGUCUGAAUAUGGGGGGACCAUCCUCCAAGGCUAAAUACUCCUGACUGACCGAUAGUGAACCAGUACCGUGAGGGAAAGGCGAAAAGAACCCCGGCGAGGGGAGUGAAAAAGAACCUGAAACCGUGUACGUACAAGCAGUGGGAGCACGCUUAGGCGUGUGACUGCGUACCUUUUGUAUAAUGGGUCAGCGACUUAUAUUCUGUAGCAAGGUUAACCGAAUAGGGGAGCCGAAGGGAAACCGAGUCUUAACUGGGCGUUAAGUUGCAGGGUAUAGACCCGAAACCCGGUGAUCUAGCCAUGGGCAGGUUGAAGGUUGGGUAACACUAACUGGAGGACCGAACCGACUAAUGUUGAAAAAUUAGCGGAUGACUUGUGGCUGGGGGUGAAAGGCCAAUCAAACCGGGAGAUAGCUGGUUCUCCCCGAAAGCUAUUUAGGUAGCGCCUCGUGAAUUCAUCUCCGGGGGUAGAGCACUGUUUCGGCAAGGGGGUCAUCCCGACUUACCAACCCGAUGCAAACUGCGAAUACCGGAGAAUGUUAUCACGGGAGACACACGGCGGGUGCUAACGUCCGCCGUGAAGAGGGAAACAACCCAGACCGCCAGCUAAGGUCCCAAAGUCACGGUUAAGUGGGAAACGAUGUGGGAAGGCCCAGACAGCCAGGAUGUUGGCUUAGAAGCAGCCAUCAUUUAAAGAAAGCGUAAUAGCUCACUGGUCGAGUCGGCCUGCGCGGAAGAUGUAACGGGGCUAAACCAUGCACCGAAGCUGCGGCAGCGACGCUGAUGCGUUGUUGGGUAGGGGAGCGUUCUGUAAGCCUGUGAAGGUGUGCUGUGAGGCAUGCUGGAGGUAUCAGAAGUGCGAAUGCUGACAUAAGUAACGAUAAAGCGGGUGAAAAGCCCGCUCGCCGGAAGACCAAGGGUUCCUGUCCAACGUUAAUCGGGGCAGGGUGAGUCGACCCCUAAGGCGAGGCCGAAAGGCGUAGUCGAUGGGAAACAGGUUAAUAUUCCUGUACUUGGUGUUACUGCGAAGGGGGGACGGAGAAGGCUAUGUUGGCCGGGCGACGGUUGUCCCGGUUUAAGCGUGUAGGCUGGUUUUCCAGGCAAAUCCGGAAAACUAAGGCUGAGGCGUGAUGACGAGGCACUACGGUGCUGAAGCAACAAAUGCCCAGCUUCCAGGAAAAGCCUCUAAGCAUCAGGUAACAUCAAAUCGUACCCCAAACCGACACAGGUGGUCAGGUAGAGAAUACCAAGGCGCUUGAGAGAACUCGGGUGAAGGAACUAGGCAAAAUGGUGCCGUAACUUCGGGAGAAGGCACGCUGAUAUGUAGGUGAAGUCCCUCGCGGAUGGAGCUGAAAUCAGUCGAAGAUACCAGCUGGCUGCAACUGUUUAUUAAAAACACAGCACUGUGCAAACACGAAAGUGGACGUAUACGGUGUGACGCCUGCCCGGUGCCGGAAUGUUAAUUGAUGGGGUCAGCGCAAGCGAAGCUCUUGAUCGAAGCCCCGGUAAACGGCGGCCGUAACUAUAACGGUCCUAAGGUAGCGAAAUUCCUUGUCGGGUAAGUUCCGACCUGCACGAAUGGCGUAAUGAUGGCCAGGCUGUCUCCACCCGAGACUCAGUGAAAUUGAACUCGCUGUGAAGAUGCAGUGUACCCGCGGCAAGACGGAAAGACCCCGUGAACCUUUACUAUAGCUUGACACUGAACAUUGAGCCUUGAUGUGUAGGAUAGGUGGGAGGCUUUGAAGUGUGGACGCCAGUCUGCAUGGAGCCGACCUUGAAAUACCACCCUUUAAUGUUUGAUGUUCUAACGUUGACCCGUAAUCCGGGUUGCGGACAGUGUCUGGUGGGUAGUUUGACUGGGGCGGUCUCCUCCUAAAGAGUAACGGAGGAGCACGAAGGUUGGCUAAUCCUGGUCGGACAUCAGGAGGUUAGUGCAAUGGCAUAAGCCAGCUUGACUGCGAGCGUGACGGCGCGAGCAGGUGCGAAAGCAGGUCAUAGUGAUCCGGUGGUUCUGAAUGGAAGGGCCAUCGCUCAACGGAUAAAAGGUACUCCGGGGAUAACAGGCUGAUACCGCCCAAGAGUUCAUAUCGACGGCGGUGUUUGGCACCUCGAUGUCGGCUCAUCACAUCCUGGGGCUGAAGUAGGUCCCAAGGGUAUGGCUGUUCGCCAUUUAAAGUGGUACGCGAGCUGGGUUUAGAACGUCGUGAGACAGUUCGGUCCCUAUCUGCCGUGGGCGCUGGAGAACUGAGGGGGGCUGCUCCUAGUACGAGAGGACCGGAGUGGACGCAUCACUGGUGUUCGGGUUGUCAUGCCAAUGGCACUGCCCGGUAGCUAAAUGCGGAAGAGAUAAGUGCUGAAAGCAUCUAAGCACGAAACUUGCCCCGAGAUGAGUUCUCCCUGACUCUUUAAGAGUCCUGAAGGAACGUUGAAGACGACGACGUUGAUAGGCCGGGUGUGUAAGCGCAGCGAUGCGUUGAGCUAACCGGUACUAAUGAACCGUGAGGCUUAACCUU
RNAcentral lists this ribosomal RNA (2899 nucleotides) under Escherichia coli DEC8E. RNAcentral describes it as "bacterial LSU rRNA". It matches the Rfam family "Bacterial large subunit ribosomal RNA". The record is from RNAcentral. Lineage: Bacteria; Pseudomonadati; Pseudomonadota; Gammaproteobacteria; Enterobacterales; Enterobacteriaceae.